GAGAUAUUAGUUAAACUAUAACACUGCCUUGUCAAGACAAAAUCAUGAGUUAAAUUCUCAUAUAUCUUA
Molecule: transfer RNA, 69 nt
Filed under: Polypterus mokelembembe (Mokele-mbembe bichir)
Lineage: Eukaryota; Metazoa; Chordata; Cladistia; Polypteriformes; Polypteridae
Description: tRNA-Asp
Rfam family: tRNA
About the family: Transfer RNA (tRNA) molecules are approximately 80 nucleotides in length. Their secondary structure includes four short double-helical elements and three loops (D, anti-codon, and T loops).
Source: RNAcentral